This 427-nucleotide ribosomal RNA is filed under the name uncultured bacterium. RNAcentral describes it as "partial 16S ribosomal RNA". It matches the Rfam family "Bacterial small subunit ribosomal RNA", at positions 355 to 774 of the family's 1533-position model. The record is from RNAcentral.
UGGGGAAUAUUGGACAAUGGGCGAAAGCCUGAUCCAGCCAUGCCGCGUGUGUGAAGAAGGUCUUCGGAUUGUAAAGCACUUUAAGUUGGGAGGAAGGGCAUUAACCUAAUACGUUAGUGUUUUGACGUUACCGACAGAAUAAGCACCGGCUAACUCUGUGCCAGCAGCCGCGGUAAUACAGAGGGUGCAAGCGUUAAUCGGAAUUACUGGGCGUAAAGCGCGCGUAGGUGGUUUGUCAAGUUGGAUGUGAAAUCCCCGGGCUCAACCUGGGAACUGCAUUCAAAACUGACUGACUAGAGUAUGGUAGAGGGUGGUGGAAUUUCCUGUGUAGCGGUGAAAUGCGUAGAUAUAGGAAGGAACACCAGUGGCGAAGGCGACCACCUGGACUAAUACUGACACUGAGGUGCGAAAGCGUGGGGAGCAAACA